This 410-nucleotide long non-coding RNA is filed under the name Olea europaea subsp. europaea. The record is from RNAcentral. Lineage: Eukaryota; Viridiplantae; Streptophyta; Magnoliopsida; Lamiales; Oleaceae.
UUUUGAUGUGGCCAGAAGAUUUCUUCGCCUAAGGGUUUAGGCUCUAGCGAACCUGAGGGCACUAGUCCCGUUCUUAUUGGGGGAUACUAUCAUAUAGCCUAUCCCCACAAGCGUCAGAGAAACCAUGGUCUUCUAUUGUCGAUGUUUUGGUUCAAGGGUCUUUGCCCUUACAAAUUGAGCCUCCUCCCUCACCCAUUCAUGCCAGGGACCUCUUUAAAGGGAAAAAGAAAGUGUCGUGUCGGUUUGGGCAGGCUUCGAAUGUAAAAGUUUCUUCUUCACACAAUUUCAGGUCUUAGUCCCUCCUAUUACAAUAAACUUGAUGUAGGGAUUUUAUCUACAUUUUCUCCCUUUGUUGCCCAAAUUGUAAUGUUAUGUUAUACCUAUUUUGUUAAAGGAAAUUAUCACAAUAA